GACGAACGCUGGCGGCAUGCCUAACACAUGCAAGUCGAACGGGAUCCUAGCUUGCUAGGUGAGAGUGGCGGACGGGUGAGUAACACGUGGGAAUCUGCCUUUUUGGUUCGGGAUAACCGCGGGAAACUGCGGCUAAUACCGAAUGCCCUCGAGAGAGGAAAGAUUUAUCGCCAGAAGAGGAGCCCGCGUCCGAUUAGGUAGUUGGUGGGGUAAAGGCCUACCAAGCCGACGAUCGGUAGCUGGUCUGAGAGGAUGACCAGCCACACUGGGACUGAGAUACGGCCCAGACUCCUACGGGAGCAGCAGUGGGGAAUAUUGGACAAUGGGGGCAACCCUGAUCCAGCAAUGCCGCGUGAGUGAUGAAGGCCUUAGGGUUGUAAAGCUCUUUUACCAGGGUAUGAUAAUGACAGUACCUGGAGAAUAAGCUCCGGCUAACUCCGUG
This 442-nucleotide ribosomal RNA is filed under the name uncultured bacterium. RNAcentral describes it as "bacterial SSU rRNA". It matches the Rfam family "Bacterial small subunit ribosomal RNA", at positions 28 to 507 of the family's 1533-position model. The record is from RNAcentral.